This 292-nucleotide ribosomal RNA is filed under the name uncultured bacterium. RNAcentral describes it as "partial 16S ribosomal RNA". It matches the Rfam family "Bacterial small subunit ribosomal RNA", at positions 505 to 796 of the family's 1533-position model. The record is from RNAcentral.
GUGCCAGCCGCCGCGGUAAUACAGAGGUCCCAAGCGUUGUUCGGAUUCACUGGGCGUAAAGGGUGCGUAGGCGGCCAGAAAAGUUUGAUGUGAAAUCUCCGGGCUUAACCCGGAAAAUGCAUUGAAUACUGUCUGGCUUGAGGAUUGGAGGGGAGACUGGAAUACUUGGUGUAGCAGUGAAAUGCGUAGAUAUCAAGUGGAACACCAGUGGCGAAGGCGAGUCUCUGGACAAUUCCUGACGCUGAGGCACGAAAGCCAGGGGAGCAAACGGGAUUAGAAACCCGCGUAGUCC